UUUGAGAUCAUGUUGAGUUUCUCUGUGAGAUGGAGGAACUAAUGAUGCCUACAACUGUAACACUAGUUCACAGACAUGGAGACUAAAGGUAUUAGUGGGAGAGAUGGCAAGCAAAUAUUGAGUUGUAUGCUUAAUUCAUCGAUCUCCGCUUUCUCUAUUGCAUUCAGGUAAACUGCACCUAUGCAACAUUCCCCGUUCUUGACCGGCCCUUUCUCAUCUCUGCAUCAUUGUUCAUAUGGUUCUUCAUGCCUAGAAUGGACUCCUACAAUCUUCCUACAUUACCUUCUGUUGAAAACACACGUCUUUCAAG
Molecule: non-coding RNA, 310 nt
Organism: Phascolarctos cinereus (koala)
Lineage: Eukaryota; Metazoa; Chordata; Mammalia; Diprotodontia; Phascolarctidae
Source: RefSeq, a predicted model, not a curated record